Long non-coding RNA from Bos taurus (domestic cattle), 691 nucleotides. NCBI's taxonomy places the organism in Eukaryota, Metazoa, Chordata, Mammalia, Artiodactyla, Bovidae. The record is from Ensembl.
GAGCAGCUGCAGCUACUACCUAUCACCCUGUAAGCAACAGAUGAAAAAAAACAAGAUUUACAUGGAAGCGUUGAGCUGCCCAAAGUUAAACUCUGUUGCAGAUCUUGUUUUCAGCCGAGAGGACCAGAUGCAGAGGUGUCUAUUGAAAAGAAUAAAACAAUGAUGAGAGGGAAACAGAGGUGGCAGAUGGCAAGAAAAGCUCUUCUGUGCACUAGUCGCCAUCACCAGGUGUUCCUCAGGCCCAAACAGAUCCCUAAACUUCCUGCUACAUUAAGGAGAACACCAUCUCAGUGUCUGCCCGUGUAAUAGGUGGUUAAUAAAUACAAACUUAAUCUGAAUCUUGAGAGGGAGGAAUCAUAACUACAUCUGUUUUACCUUUAAAUCUUUACAAGUCAAAUCGAGCUAAGGUGUAAAAGUAAAUAUGGACUUCCCUGGUGCUUCAGAGGUUAAUAAUCAUCUUGACAAUGCAGGGGACAUGGUUUUGGUCCCUGGUCUGGGAAGAUUCCACACACUGUGGGGCAUGAAACCUGCAAGCCACAACUGCUGAAGGCUGUGCAUACUAGAGCCUGCGCCCAGCAACAAGAGAAGCCACUGCAAUGCAAAGCCCACACACCGCAACCAGAGAGUAGCCCCCCUCCCUUGCUCCAACUACAGAAAACCCACGUGCAGCAACAAAGACCCAGCACAGCCA